AUGGUUGCAUGUGAUUUUGAUCUGAAUUUCACAUUUAUUUCAUGUGGGUGGGAAGGGUCCGCAUCAGAUGCAGGAGUUCUUCGUUCUGCUAUUAGCAAGGGGUUUCAUGUGCCAGAUGGAAAAUUUUAUCUCGUAGAUGGUGGAUAUGCAAACACGCCUUCUUUUCUUGCACCAUAUCGAGGAGUUCGGUAUCACCUGAGUGAAUUUAGGAGGCGGCGCUCAUCUAAUACGGGCUAUGCCGACCAUAGGGAGCUGUUCAACCAUACCCAUGCAAUCCUCCGGAACCACAUCGAAAGGAGCAUUGGUGUUCUAAAAAAACGUUUCCCUAUCUUAAAAGUGGGCAAUCACUACCCAAUAGAGUCACAAAUCAAGAUUCCGGCAGCAUGUGCUGUAUUCCAUAACAUCAUUAGAGCUCAAAGUGGUGAUGAGGCAUGGUUGGAUCACCAACCACCGUUAAUUCCACCAGAAACAUAUGUUGAUGUUCCAGAGGGAGAUGAUGUCAACCAACAUCAUCACAAUGAGGCAAACGAUGGAAACACUCUUAGAGAUCAGAUCGCGAUGCAAAUGUGGGCUGAUUAUAACAACUAG
RNAcentral lists this ribosomal RNA (588 nucleotides) under Triticum aestivum (bread wheat). Its description in RNAcentral is "partial small subunit ribosomal RNA". Lineage: Eukaryota; Viridiplantae; Streptophyta; Magnoliopsida; Poales; Poaceae. The record is from RNAcentral.